UAUACUUAUUAUUCUUUGGUUUGGUCUUUUCAUGCUGUCCCAUAUUUCCUGGAUAUUUUGUGUUAUGGAUUUGUUAGACUUCAGAUUUUCUUUGCUUGACAAGUUUAUUUCCUCUAGUUUGUCUUCAGCAUCUGAGAUUCUGUCUUCGAUCUCUUGUAUUCUAUUGGUUAUACUUGCAUCUGUGGUUCCUGAUUGUUUACUCAGCUUUUCCACUUCCAGCAUUCCCUCAGUUUGUGUUUUCUUUAUUGUCUCUAAUUCAGUUUUCAGGUCCUGAACUGUUUCCUUCAGCUGUUUAAUUGUAUUUUCUUGGCUUUUUUGGCUUUCCUUGAUUUCUGGCAUCUUUUGGUUUGUCUUUUCUUCCAUUUUUCUGAAGGAUUUUCUGAUUUCCUGUCUUAGGUUCUCUAUCAUCUGCAUGAAGUUGUUUUUAAGGUUGCUCUCUUCUGCUUCUUCUGUGUUGGGAUGUUCAUGUCUUGCUGGUGUAGAGUCCCUGGACUCUGGUGGUGUCAUAUUGGUUUUCCUGUUGUUGGAUGUGUUCUUAUAUUGACAUCUUCCCAUCUCUUUUUCCAGUGGGUACAGUUGGUGUCACUUCCGUUCCUGGUGUGUAUGGGUCCGGUGUUCUCUUCAGGUGUGAGGCACUCCCUCUCCAGAAUCCUUUCAGGACUCAUGUACCAAGGUGGGGACUUCAUACAGCAUCACAUCAAUAGCCAUGCCUCCACCUACAGGGAGAAAUUUGAUGAAGAGAACUUCAUUCUGAAGCACACAUAGUUCUGGAAUCUUAUUCAUGGGAAAUGCUGGACCAAACACAAAUGGUUUCCAGGUUUUCCUCUUUUCUUCUGAGGCUGAGUGUUUGGAUGGCAAACUUGUGGUCUUUAGGACAGUAAAAAUGGCAUGAGCAUUGUAGACAUCCUGAAGUUUCUCGAGCAGCAAGGAGGCCUUUACUGCUGAUUGUGGACAGGCUUUCACUGCUGACUGUGAACAGCCCUACCACAUUGGACAUGCAUGUAUCCUGACCAACAAACUUUUCUUUCUGUGGUUCAGGAGCACUUCCUUCCAGUCUAUUCAGUGUCCACCAGCCUUGUGUUCUCAUUGUGUUCUUUGGGUUCCAUGUUUUCCUUAAUCAUUUACAAGUACAGUUUGAUUGUAGAGUUAAGGUUACUGUUAUGGAUAAAAACCAAAAAAUUAAACCAGACAUGGUAGUGCACCCCUUUAAUAUUAGCUUAAUUAAUAUCAGGGCGAAGGCAGGAGAAUCCAGGCCCAGCCAGGGUUGCAUUUUUAAAUGUAAAUCUUUCAAAAAAGAUUGCAUUUAAUAUUUAUUUUCAAAGACACGGUUUCUCUGUGUAGCCCUGGCUAUCUUGAAACUCGCUCUGUAGACCAGGCUGGCCUUGAACUCACAGAGAUGUGCUGCCUCUGCCCUGAACUUAAGCUAAUAUUAAAUGUAUGCACCACCACCUCCUGGCUUGCAUUUAAUUUUAAAUUAACAGUUGAUGUAAUUUAUAACUAGUAUCCUAAUUUGACAUAGCGAUAUCUUGUUUUUUUAUGAAUUACACAGUCUCUCAGGAACUAAAUUCUAUAGCAAUUUUAAGAGAAGGUGAGUUUCCUCUAAUGUGAAAUCAAAGUGUGUGCUUUAUUGGCAAUAUACUUUCUAGAGAAACUUAAGGGUAAAAUCAGCCCAUUUUGUUUUGUAGUAAAUCAGAAAUAGGCAAACUAUGUCAACAUGAUAAUAUGCAGUGAGGGAAAUGUUCCAUGCAAACCUCUGUUUUUCUAUUAAUCCCUAAAAUGACUUGUGUCCUUUUUAUCUAUAUGAGUAAUAUCAGACACAAACACAGUUGCAGGAAUAAUACACAGAAAAGACAAAUACACUCUGAGUUUAGAAUCUUAAUAAAUUAUGUUUUAAAGGUGAUUCAAAUCUAUAGGAAAUGUAAGAUUGGAGAUUUCAACAAAGAUGCGAUAUCUAGGUAUGCUUCUGAGAGUUAUUUAGGUAUUUUAUUCUUGGUUAGUUGAAUUUAGUACAGAAGGAAAGAGAACUGGGUCCUUGGCCAUGGAUCACAGAAAAGUCUAAGUUUAUUCAGAUACUGUUCAAGCCUCUGUCUAGGCAUAUUAGUAGCCACCUUUACUUUCAUUAUAUGUAACAAUGUGAUACUUUCAGUGCAUCAUAAAGAGAACAGGCAAGCAAAAAGGAAACGGUUUAUUUUUACUGUCAUAUUUUAGAUUUUCAUUUUCUUUUACAUUGCUGGGCAUAUUCCAUAUUUAUUGUAUUAUGACAGUAAUAAUGCCUCUUUUUGUAAAUCUUAAAAGCAAAACAAUUUGUUAGUUCUUUUUAUUGUGCUGAGAUAUACAGCAUUUGACCACCUCCAGACAUCCAAUUCAGUAGUACUCAGUAUGCUCACAGUACUGUGCAGCUCACCACAAGUCACCUCCAGGAAUCUUAAACACCCCACCCAGUAAUGUCCAUCUUUCUGUCCUUGAAUUGUACAUGUUGAGUGACCUAAAUGGUGAUUAUGCAUGAAGUUUACUUUAUCACAUUUGGCAGGCUUGAUUGUUAAUUCACAAAAUUAACUCAUAUUGUUUUUGUUUUGUAUUUAUGUGUGCGAUGAACCUAAUUUAAGCAUAGUUGUAAAAACAAUGCAAUGCAUUUAAUAAAUUAUUAAGUUUAAAAUCCCACCGUGUAUGUUACAUAUCAUCUUAUAGUUUAAUAAGUCUUGAUAACAUAAAUGUCUGCCUGCC
Molecule: long non-coding RNA, 2724 nt
Filed under: Cricetulus griseus (Chinese hamster)
Lineage: Eukaryota; Metazoa; Chordata; Mammalia; Rodentia; Cricetidae
Description: lncRNA (ENSCGRG00000025565.1)
Source: RNAcentral